AAUAAGUAAAGAGGCAUGCGCGGUAGCGUAAAAAGAAUAGAGAGAGGAAUCCGCGAAUGGGAAAGCAGCGAAUCUCUCAUUGGUUACGCCAUGUUGUUAUUGGAGUCUCUGAUUGGCUACGCCAUAUUUAAAAAGAAAUUACUAAACUUUUCGAAUUUCCCCUCUAGCUGUCAUUCUGAGUAUCAGGCGGUCAUCAAAGUCGCACGAAAACGGUUUUCAACGGUCUGCAACGGGUACAACCGUAUUUCGUUACGUCUCGUCCUUCAAUCGGCUCGAAGCGCAGUCUCGUAUAGUAUAUCGGAGGAGGCCCCAGGCAAUCCCAGGCUCGCGACAGUAGGACUUAAACAUCACGACAUCGAAAUAUCGGCGACAAGGAUGCGACCAGACUCGCGCAGCGUGUCGUUUACGUUUCACCGGGAGGUGCUGGCCGUGCGAAACUCGCCGGAGAUGGUGCGGACCUCGUGGAACCUUCGCCAGCGUUUGCAAGAUCGAUUCGAGAAGGUCCCCCCCGGCGACAACGCGAAGGAGAAAUCGCCGAAGACGAAGGAAGCGACCGACCGGGCCUGGAACAACAUCAGCCUCGGCAACGUGUCCGCGGAUUCGAGACGAGCCUUACGAAACGGCGCCGAGAAGCUGUCCAGGACGAUAUCCUCCGUACGCACAACCUUCGGCACGAUAUCUCAGAAAUUUAGAAGUUCCACACGUAGACGUCAGAGGCUAGAGGAACAACAAUCGCCAUGCAACAUGCAAACACCUCAGACCCGCUCCCGCCAGCUUCUGGGUCGUACGCCGACGAAACUGUACAGUCCGUUCGGCAUCGAAUCGCCGAGACACGCCUGGGACAAGGAGAACGACGCCAGCACGCCAGUGCGAGCCUCGCCAGAAUGUAAUACGCGUUAUAUAAACUGCAGACCGUUUCGUUUUACAAAGGCCAAAGGAUUCUCUGUACUGAGAUAAAGGGGCCAGAAGAAGGGCCUCCUCCUCGAAAAAUACUCAACGUCGAUCUCUAUUUAAUUCCUAUUGAACGCAAUCGGGAUUGCGUGCCUUGUGCAACAACAUCUAUAUAACGAAUAUAAUUUAUUUACGUUUUUAAUCGCGAGAGACUCGCCGUGUACACGAGGCAAGAUUGUUUUUAUACAAGUAACAUUUAUAGAUAUGCUAAACAUAUCUUCCAUAUUCAUUCCAUCGCUUACUUUGCAUAUGUAUAUCAUGGAAGAUUCUAUUUCUACUUUUUUAUAUCUAUUUAUACAUUUAUAUAUCUCGCCCAGUAAUAUAUGCGAGAUACGGCAGGGCAAACAAUUUGUAUUCAGCGUUAAGAUAUUAAUCAGGAAAAUCAAAACGAUAACAAAGAAUCUCAAAAUUAGUGUGAAAACGUUGGAGAAGCAUUUAUUGAGACUUUGAAAGAUUUUUUCUCUUUGAUAUGCAUACAAGAAGUAAUUUCUUGGACAAUUUUUUUUUAUAAUACUCAAAAAAUGCGUUUUAAAUUUGUUAUACUGUAAAAUGAGGAUACUUUGCAAUCGUAUUAUUAUAUCGUGUGACAGAAAGUCUGUUCUUUUCAGCUGCACUAGUGCAAUAAGUUAAGGUCUUUGCACUACAAAAACAAAAAGUUUGUCGUAACCAUAAGAUCGUAAAAAAACUGACAAAUCAUGGUCGAAUAUUCUUUCUGAUAAAAGAAUAAUCGACUAUAAUUGGUCAGUUUUCUUACAACCUUACGGUUAUGAUUUUAGAACGAGACUUUUAGAAAGAGACAAACAUACUACUAGUCCUUUCACUCUAACUAACUGCACUAGUGCAACAGUGUAGUUAGUUAGAUUAAAAGGACUAGUGGAACAGUGCAGCUAAAAAGAACAGACCCAGAGUUAUUCGUUUGAGCGGAUAGAUAUGAAUGUAAAGUCUUUUGUCUUGCACAAAAUAAAAAUGCACAACUUUUUGAUUAAUGAUUAGAUCUCUAGGAUUAUAUCUCGUUUAUUCGUCUAUCCUUUCCGACGAAAUCGUCGCGCAAAGUAUUCCCAGUUUAUGUUUUAUUGAGAUAUAUAAAUAUAUAUAUUUAAUUAUAUAUUCUCUUUAGAAAAUAUAGCGGUUUUUAAAGAGAAAUCGUUGCUUUAAAAAACGAAAAUAAAGCACCUCCAAUAUUUGGCCUCGAUAUAGCCCUGCUACCACAUAUCUAUAAUCUUAAUUUAUUUAUUGGCAUAUAAUAAAAUUUUCUAUUGAAAAAGGACCAUCUGAUAUUUGUAUUCAAAAGCGAUUCAGGGCCCCUCGGAGAUACGUCUUUGAAUUGUCCCAACCUUCAGAACAUCAUGGCGUCUUGUUGCAGUAUGCAGUGUAAUCUAAAGUUGUCCAAAGCAAGUGGAUAAUCGAGCCAUUCGUUGAUCGAAUUCGCCUCGCUGCGGGACGCGAGUGCAAAGGUGUACCUUUCGCCUUUUCAGUACCUGGUUCCUGGUGAACGGUUCCUAAGAGCUUAUAAGCCCGCGAAAGCGACAUCUAAUUUGCAUAUCCGUUACAAUCGUCCCCUUGCAUCGCAACUUUUUCUCUACAGUUGUACAACCUUCGGCAGAGCAUUUUUUGCGUUAGCCAUCUUUCUUCCGUGAAUAUAUCGGGUGACAAGUUUCGAACAGAUCGGGCAACCGAUUAUAACUUGUCGCGUACAUAUAUAUAAUUGUUCGUACAUCGCUUUCGCGGCCUGUGUACCCGCGUAUUUGUCGUGACGGCGAUCGAGAGGCGACCCCGUGAAGCGACCGGAAAGCCUGACUCGAUCGAUACCAAGUAUGCGUCGAGACGGUACGAAACGCAUCGAUGUGCCCGGAAUCGGAACGCGGAGCAGCUGAACUUCCAAGGCCGGUCUGGCAUCAAUACAUAUAUAUUGCACAUUUAUUUUCUAUUUAUUUUGAGACUGCUUAGAGAGAAAGAGAGAGAGAGAGAGAGAAAGAUGAGAGCUUUCGAAAGCGCAGGCUGGCCUACGUCGAGCGUGGCAGCGUCGUUGUACCGGGAAGACAUAGUAAUGAAUUUGUUUAUAUUUUUUGUAUUUGCCGAUG
This is an RNA transcript of Camponotus floridanus (Florida carpenter ant), 3032 nucleotides long. It is a transcript of the gene named sex-lethal homolog, with no coding region annotated. The record is from RefSeq and is a predicted model, not a curated record. Lineage: Eukaryota; Metazoa; Arthropoda; Insecta; Hymenoptera; Formicidae. The transcript is spliced from 3 exons.